Molecule: long non-coding RNA, 4529 nt
Organism: Galeopterus variegatus (Sunda flying lemur)
Lineage: Eukaryota; Metazoa; Chordata; Mammalia; Dermoptera; Cynocephalidae
Exons: 2
Source: RefSeq, a predicted model, not a curated record
UUCACUUGCAGGUUUAAGAAGAUGUCAGCUUCAGAGUAUGCCCUCUGUGCCACUUUGGGCUAAUAGCACUUCUUUGGUAUCAGAACCUGCUUUCCUAGAAGUGAUUGUUAGUGGUUGUCAGUGGCCACCCCUACAUCAUCUCCAGUCAGACCUGGUUCCUGACUUAUGCUGGGGAAGAAUAUGAAGCAGCUGCUGUCUGCUUCAGGUACAGAGUUCUCUGGGCAAAGAGAGUAACCCACAACCAACUCACUAUGAUAGGCCUCUCCUCCUGCUUAGAGAGUCUGGUUCUCAACCUCUCCAAGUUUGCAGAGCCAAAGAUCAGAAGUGAGUCCUCUGACUAGCCUGCCUCCAGGCUGUCCACAGCCCAGGAAAAGCCAACACUCUACUGGCAACCCUUCUUUGUUGUUGGAGGUUGGAGAAGGCCACAGGGACCAGCAGGAGCCAGACCUAGGCUUCAAGGGGUGGGGGUGGGGGGGGUGCUGUGUAGGGUGGAGAAGAGGAAAAUCGAGAGGUGAGAAGUCAGUGGCCUUCAGUGACCCUGAAGCAACUUCAGGUCCUUAGUUCUCCUAGAAUGCAGAGAGAAAUGUCCUAGAAGCCAUGGGGACAAGUGCUCCAGGCUGCAUCUCAAAUGGAACUUCAUGGUCCAUGCAGGGUGUUUGUGAGAAAGUGGCACAGACAGAUACUGGGAGUCAGGCUCCCUCACAAGCAAGGGCUUGGUUGGGAAGGGGCCUAUUGCUGAUAUUGUAGGGGAGCUGAGGGCCUGACAUUUCAGUGGCCUGGCCCAGAGACCCUCUCCCUAGUCCUCUCAUGGAAUGGCUAAUUUCAAGGGAGUCUCAGUCAUGGCUUUGUUUUUGCUGAGAGAUGCAGUUUAAGGAAGUUUUUGUUUGUAGGCCUUUGCUGAUGAGUAUUUUUUAUCAGGGAACAUUCCUUCUCUUCUUGUGAGUCCAUAGUACUGCUCAUUUCCUUCUUUACCCAGGCUGAAUGAUCAUCUUCACUUCAAAUCAAACCAUGCUCAUUGACUUGCCAUUCUUUCAGCUGCACACAUGCCAAGUCUCCUAACCACGUGGGCUUCUAUAAUUCAGUUUUCUAGUUUGGGGUAACAAAGUUUUUAAUGCAUUACUAGGCAGGCAAUCUUUCGACUUAGGUCUCUGGGAGCUCACAUGACUUUCUGUUUUGGACUCUGGCCAUUUCCCUUUCAAUUUUUGAAUCUUUUUCUCAGUUUAGUUGGCUUGGCAAGGUUCCCUCUGUACUUGCCUCACUAAUUCUUGCUCUUGGCUCAUCUUUCCUUAGUGUGCUCCACAUUUCCACCAUCCCUGAGUGAGCUUUGUGGGACUUGGUGUUGGGCAGCCAAUGAGGACUCUUUCUAUGACAGGCUCAAACCUGAUUGAGAUUCUUCCCCAGGACCAACUGGAGACCAUAAAUAUGAAGCAGAAAUGCCCAAUUAAAAGCUUGGCUUCCUUCCUUUGCGUGAGGCUCUCAGCUUGGGUGUGGCCUGCUGGGCCCAAGGAUAGCCUGCUAGGCCAGGGGGAUCUUAGUGAUGUGGUAGAGAGUCACAUAUUCCUUUUCUAUCAUAGAGAUCCUUCAUGUUAGGCACCUGACCAGGGCGUGGUGGGAGUUAGGGUAUCGCUUCCUCCAAGAGUGUGAGGCCCUAGCCCACCAUACCAUCCCUAUGCUGUUUAUUCCAUGGCACUGCCCUCUUUCUGGAUUUUCCUAUAUACCUAGCACCAAUGUUUCAAGUCAUGGUUUUGUUUUGUCUUUGCAUGUAGAAACAUGACUUUUUAUAAACUAAAAAAUAUUUGCUAGCCAAGUGACUGCCUUCAGUGGCUGUUUGCUAAUAUUUGAGCUGAUCCUGCUUUUGACUUGUUCCCAUAAUGGCCCCACUUUGAAGUCAGUUAAGUUCUUUGGCCCUUGACCAAGUCAUGUAAUGGAAAUGUAGUGAGUUCUGGGUUCUUAUGGUAUAGCAUGAAGUCCUAGAGGAGAAUUUGACUUCUUGGGUGUGCUGAGAAACAGGAUAAUAGAGUGGCUUCAGUUGAUGCAAAGAGCAUUUUUGUAAAAAACUGGUGCGGGGGGAAUUUGCAGAGCAUUCCACAGAACAUGGGUAGAUUGGCCCUGCCUGACUUCUAGCAGUAGCUGACUACACACCCUGCCUGCCUCUGGCACCCCCUCCCUGAGUGGCUGUCACCAGACCCUCAUAGGCUUUGCUUCACGGCAGGCCCUGCCAUCAACCUCAACAGACUCUGGCUCCCUGUACCCAUUUCUGGUGACAGGUCUUUGCCUGUCUCCUAGACCCAGGCCCUUUCUUGUUUGUUCCUGGCUCUGCUGUGCUCCCUCUCUCACUCCAUAGGGUCACCUAUGGUCUUCUCUUCUAAAUUCCUGAACUGAGCCUUUGCUUCAUCUGAAUCAGGUAGAGACCACUCUGUCACCUCCUGUGCUGCUUCUUUUCCCGCUCUCUUGCUCACUGCUGCUAAAAUUGCCCUGUUCCUUUAGACCAUUUCCAUGACUUCUGCCCUCUCUUCUUCCUCUCGUUCAGCCUUCUCCUGGACUUCUCUCUCUCCCCAGUCUGAACCCUUGGCCCAUCACACACUGACAUUUUAUCAGCAUGCUGAACUUUCUCUUCCCCUCCAACUUUUGCUGAAAUAUCAACCAUUCACCAUUUUCUGCAUCAUUCUAUUUUCUGCUCCCUCUUCCUGGACUGCUGAACAUGAUGAAUUCGUAGUUGACAGCCUCAGUUGUGCUCUCAGUAUUGACUGGAAAUUCUUUAGCUUGUCAUUACACUUCUUUUCCAUCUAUGCCCUUCAUCUGUGCUCUCAGAAAAUGAUUGACCUCAUUGUCCACUUCACGGAAGACAGCCCCUAAAGCAAGAACUUCCUUGCCUGCUGCUCUUCUCCCCCCUCCCCUUUAUGUGUCUGUAUCUCCUUCCUUCCUUGCUCCUGUUUAGUUCUCUAUUUCUUGAAUCCUGUUAUAUGUUCUCCAAGACUUUGCUCCCUCACUUAUCCCACUGCUCCCACUUCCUGGGUCUUCAGCCUCCCUCACCACUGGUUACCUCCAUGUAGCCCACACACAAGCAACGUUCUCCCCAAGAUUAAAAUAAAGUUUCUUAAAGUCUGUGGCCCCUAUGCUCUUUCCUUGUCAGCCAAGUUUCUUUAAAAAAGAAUCUUUUUCAUUGAUUCUCUGUUGCUCUUCAUCCCUCUAUAGUUUUUCAUAAAAGAUACCAGCAACUACGCAGUUGCCAAAUCAAAUGAAUACCUUUUAGUCUUCAACUGUCUUGAACUGUCCACAGCAUUUCACACUGUGCACCACUUCCUUGGUGAAACACCCUGUUCACUGGCUUUUACAACAUCACAGCCCUCUAGAUUCCUCUUACUCUCAGCCUUCCUUGAAACUUAGCCACAGACACAUCUCCCUGUGUAUCUGUGGUUCCUUCUCUUCAGGAGUUGGAUAUGCAGAAAGAAUCACAGCUGGUCUGGCUCCCUGCUCUCUGUGUCUAUCUUCUUUUGAGUCCCUUCUUUCUCCUGGACUCAGUUCUCCUCAUGCCAGGCAUGUUAAUGAGCUCCUGCUGGGAGGACAGCAUCUGUGAUUCCUUCCUUCUCCCAGUAUAGCACAGAGAGAUUUUAGCCAUGUUUGCUAAGAGAUCCCAUCUAAAUCAGCUGAAGAGUGUGGAUUGGGUCUUAUAGCAUCAAGACACAGAUUGGAUAAACUGGAUUACAAGUCUGGUGGGAAGCUCAUCACCAUGGUUCCGUACCAGUUGGAGCCUGUCACAGUUGGUAAGGAGCCUGGGAUGGUGGUAAAACAUGUUUCCAUCCAUGGUUCAGUGUGGCUAACAGGAGGAGAAUCCUGGCAAGAGUUGGUGUCUGCACUGAUAACAUUCCAUUGGGGGGAGAUUGGGAAGUGCUGUGGUUCAUCACUUUUGGGCUCAGCUGGGGUCAGCAUGACUCCCUUUAGCUGGGUCUUUUCCACCUGUGCUAAUCACCACCACCUGCUUGCUCCAGUUGUUCUUAGAACUGGGGGCAGAUGUUGGUUGCUUUCUUAGAGGGAAGGAUGUAUAGUAGAAAAGACAUUUGAUUUGAUAGUCUGAAUACCCAAAUUUUGGCUCUGCCAGUUAUGAGCUAUGUGACCUCAUCUAUAAAGCUGGUGUGGAGGGUGGCUGAGAACAGUCAUCUCUCAGAGGCUCUCCAGCUCUAAAGAUGAUAAUUGUGAUUCUAACUCUAAAGCCCAGGCCACACAAGGAACUCUGAGAGUGGGACACUGCUGGGGGAGUUCUGACCAGGUAAAAGGGACUCACAGGCCAAAUCGAGCUGCUUUGAGGAAUGCCCUUAUCAGCUGGUGCUGCUGCUUGAGCCAUGUGCUCAUUCCUCAAGCUGCACCCUUUUGUGGAUGUCUAGGAUGAGUUCCUCCUUUUUCUAGAAGUAGCCAUUGGAUCCAAAGUGAUUAGGGACAUGAGGUAGGGAUACUGUAAGGGGAAGUUUCACUGAUUUUAAAAGAACCUACACAUUCAUGAACAAAUAAAUAGCACUUUUCUUUACCAACAA